Long non-coding RNA from Octodon degus (degu), 266 nucleotides. RefSeq lists it as uncharacterized. The transcript is spliced from 3 exons. The record is from RefSeq and is a predicted model, not a curated record. NCBI's taxonomy places the organism in Eukaryota, Metazoa, Chordata, Mammalia, Rodentia, Octodontidae.
GAGGAGAAAGAGAAGGUUCUUUUCUUUGUGUUGCUCCUGUGAGUCACUCUUGAGUUUGGAUGUGGUGAGGAAUGAAGGACAAAGCCCAAGGAGGAGCAGUGUUGAGUAUUUUGAGAUUCAGAACAUCUUAAAAUGAGAGACCCUAGAGAGUGGGACAUCAGGCUUCUGCACUAGAACUUUCCUUGUGGUAACGAGGGAAGACUGGUGACCACCCAGCGCGGAAGCUGCAGCAGGUUUAAAAAUGGAUGAUGUUGAGAAAGGCAAGA